This 206-nucleotide ribosomal RNA is filed under the name uncultured bacterium. Its description in RNAcentral is "partial 16S ribosomal RNA". It matches the Rfam family "Bacterial small subunit ribosomal RNA", at positions 524 to 729 of the family's 1533-position model. The record is from RNAcentral.
UACGAAGGGGGCUAGCGUUGCUCGGAAUUACUGGGCGUAAAGGGCGCGCAGGCGGCUCUGAAAGUCAGAUGUGAAAGCCCCGGGCUUAACCUGGGAACUGCAUUUGAUACUCUGGAGCUUGAGUACGGGAGAGGAUAGUGGAAUUCCCAGUGUAGAGGUGAAAUUCGUAGAUAUUGGGAAGAACACCGGUGGCGAAGGCGGGCUAC